GCUGGACGUAUCACAAGUGCGAAUGCUGACAUAAGUAACGAUAAAACGGGUGAAAAACCCGUUCGCCGGAAGACCAAGGGUUCCUGUCCAACGUUAAUCGGGGCAGGGUGAGUCGGCUCCUAAGGCGAGGCUGAAAAGCGUAGUCGAUGGGAAACAGGUUAAUAUUCCUGUACUUGGUAAAGCUGCGAUGUGGGGACGGAGUAGGUUAGGUUAUCGCACUGUUGGAUAUGUGCGUUUAAGUUGGUAGGUGGGAAGUUUAGGCAAAUCCGGACUUCCUUAACACAGAGAGAUGAUGACGAGGCUCUACGGAGCUGAAGUAACUGAUACCACACUUCCAGGAAAAGCCACUAAGCGAAAGGCUUUACUAAACCGUACUGAAAACCGACACAGGUGGUCAGGUAGAGAAUACUCAGGCGCUUGAGAGAACUCGGGUGAAGGAACUAGGCAAAAUAGCACCGUAACUUCGGGAGAAGGUGCGCCGGCGUAGAUUGUAGUCCCUAGCGGGCGAAGGUUGAACCGGUCGAAGAUACCAGCUGGCUGCAACUGUUUAUUAAAAACACAGCACUCUGCAAACACGAAAGUGGACGUAUAGGGUGUGAUGCCUGCCCGGUGCUGGAAGGUUAAUUGAUGGUGUCAUCGCAAGAGAAGCACCUGAUCGAAGCCCCAGUAAACGGCGGCCGUAACUAUAACGGUCCUAAGGUAGCGAAAUUCCUUGUCGGGUAAGUUCCGACCUGCACGAAUGGCAUAAUGAUGGCCAGGCUGUCUCCACCCGAGACUCAGUGAAAUUGAAAUCGCCGUGAAGAUGCGGUGUACCCGCGGCUAGACGGAAAGACCCCGUGAACCUUUACUAUAGCUUGACACUGAACAUUGAAUUUUGAUGUGUAGGAUAGGUGGGAGCCUUUGAAGCAGUGACGCCAGUCAUUGUGGAGGCGACCUUGAAAUACCACCCUUUAACGUUUGAUGUUCUAACGAAGAUGACGAAACGUGGUCUCGGACAGUGUCUGGUGGGUAGUUUGACUGGGGCGGUCUCCUCCCAAAGCGUAACGGAGGAGCACGAAGGUUUGCUAAUCACGGUCGGACAUCGUGAGGUUAGUGCAAUGGUAUAAGCAAGCUUAACUGCGAGACAGACAAGUCGAGCAGGUACGAAAGUAGGUCAUAGUGAUCCGGUGGUUCUGAAUGGAAGGGCCAUCGCUCAACGGAUAAAAGGUACUCCGGGGAUAACAGGCUGAUACCGCCCAAGAGUUCAUAUCGACGGCGGUGUUUGGCACCUCGAUGUCGGCUCAUCACAUCCUGGGGCUGAAGUAGGUCCCAAGGGUAUGGCUGUUCGCCAUUUAAAGUGGUACGCGAGCUGGGUUUAGAACGUCGUGAGACAGUUCGGUCCCUAUCUGCCGUGGGCGU
This 1398-nucleotide ribosomal RNA is filed under the name Haemophilus influenzae. RNAcentral's name for it is "bacterial LSU rRNA". It matches the Rfam family "Bacterial large subunit ribosomal RNA", at positions 1272 to 2654 of the family's 2925-position model. Lineage: Bacteria; Pseudomonadati; Pseudomonadota; Gammaproteobacteria; Pasteurellales; Pasteurellaceae. The record is from RNAcentral.